Mus musculus (house mouse) is the source of this 573-nucleotide long non-coding RNA. RefSeq annotates it as predicted gene, 36639. The record is from RefSeq and is a predicted model, not a curated record. NCBI's taxonomy places the organism in Eukaryota, Metazoa, Chordata, Mammalia, Rodentia, Muridae. The transcript has 4 exons.
GGAGGACCGGUCUGUGGAGGCUCACAAGACCUUUUUGCCUGACCUACCUUCUAAUAGAUGGUGAAUACGUCUCCCAAGGAAACCUUGAUGCCAUUUGACAGCUGGGCUGAGUGACCCGUCCAGCGCCGCUCUAGCCUUCGUCCUGCUGCCUUCUGGAAGGGGAAAUAGCUGCCGCUGUCAGUCACAGGAAUCACCUGAUCUCAGGUGACACUCAGGUGACACUCAGGUGACACUCAGGCUGGCAUCUCAGCUGCCUCACAGCAUCUCCAUGGGUCCAUGCAUCUUUACCUCUGUAGCACCAAAUGUUCAGAUGGCUAGCAGGCCCUCAUCAUGGUGUCUCUGACCUGGGCAUCUCUGCACCCAAAGAGCUCACAGUUCACAGGAUCCUGAGUCCUGGCUGACACUGCAGGACUGCUGCCUUGCUAUCCCAGCCUCACACACUGAGCACACUGGCUGAGUCACAUACCAGCAGCUUGCACUCAGAAAUGAGAGGCACCAGGCCCCACGUGUCUACCCCUAGACAUAAGGAUUUAUUGGCCCAUAAAACUAAAAGAUCCAACAUAGACUCCUGGC